UGGGGAAUAUUGCACAAUGGGCGAAAGCCUGAUGCAGCUACGCCGCGUGAGCGAUGAAGGCCUUUGGGUCGUAAAGCUCUGUCCUUGGGGAAGAAAAAAAUGACGGUACCCUUGGAGGAAGCCCCGGCUAACUACGUGCCAGCAGCCGCGGUAAUACGUAGGGGGCAAGCGUUAUCCGGAAUUAUUGGGCGUAAAGAGUGCGUAGGUGGUUUUGUAAGCGCGGGGUGAAAGGCAAUAGCUCAACUAUUGUAAGCCCUGCGAACUGUAAGACUUGAGUGCAGGAGAGGAAAGCGGAAUUCCUAGUGUAGCGGUGAAAUGCGUAGAUAUUAGGAGGAACACCAGUGGCGAAGGCGGCUUUCUGAACUGUAACUGACACUGAGGCACGAAAGCGUGGGGAGCAAACA
RNAcentral lists this ribosomal RNA (404 nucleotides) under uncultured bacterium. RNAcentral describes it as "bacterial SSU rRNA". It matches the Rfam family "Bacterial small subunit ribosomal RNA", at positions 355 to 774 of the family's 1533-position model. The record is from RNAcentral.